GUGCUCACUUCGGCAGCAUAUAUACUAAAA
This 30-nucleotide small nuclear RNA is filed under the name Cervus elaphus hippelaphus. Lineage: Eukaryota; Metazoa; Chordata; Mammalia; Artiodactyla; Cervidae. The record is from RNAcentral.